UAACGGCGAGUGAAGCGGGACUAGCUCAGGAUGUGAAUCUGCGCUUUUAUGGCGCCGAAUUGUGGUCUGUAGACUUUGACAUUAUUUGCCGGGCCAAGUUCCUUGGAAAAGGACAGCUGAGAGGGUGACACUCCCGUCCGCCUGGUAAAGUGAGUCAUUUGUCAACGAGUCGAGUUGUUUGGGAUUGCAGCUCUAAUUUGGUGGUAAAUUCCAUCUAAAGCUAAAUAUUGGUGGGAGACCGAUAGCGUACAAGUACCGUGAGGGAAAGAUGCAAAGAACUUUGAAAAGAGAGUUAAAGAGUACCUGAAACUGCUGAAACGGAAGCGAAGGAAACCAGUGUUUGUUUGUUCAUAUUUCCCUGGCCACUUGUGGUCUGGGCGCUGUGGACUUGCGUGAGUUUGGGUUGGUUGAUCCCUUUGGAAGAGCGCAGUCAGAGUUGAUGUCUGUUGCUAGCACUGGGUUUGACUGAUGCAGACGAAAUGGUUUUCUUUACCCCGUCUUGAAACACGGACCAAGGAGUCUAACAUAUGUGCGAGUACAGGGGUGUCAAACCCCCGUGCGCAAUGAAAGUGACAGUGGUUGGAAUUUUUGCACAAUCCGCCGGCCUCAAUCCCUCGGGAGAACGGUCUGAGUGUGAGCAUACAUGUUGGGACCCGAAAGAUGGUGAACUAUGCCUGAAUAGGGUGA
RNAcentral lists this ribosomal RNA (687 nucleotides) under Pseudo-nitzschia pungens. Its description in RNAcentral is "partial large subunit ribosomal RNA". It matches the Rfam family "Eukaryotic large subunit ribosomal RNA", at positions 84 to 849 of the family's 3401-position model. The record is from RNAcentral. Lineage: Eukaryota; Bacillariophyta; Bacillariophyceae; Bacillariales; Bacillariaceae.